RNAcentral lists this ribosomal RNA (482 nucleotides) under uncultured bacterium. Its description in RNAcentral is "partial 16S ribosomal RNA". It matches the Rfam family "Bacterial small subunit ribosomal RNA", at positions 28 to 507 of the family's 1533-position model. The record is from RNAcentral.
GACGAACGCUGGCGGCGUGCUUAACACAUGCAAGUCGAACGAUGAAGCAGAGAAACGCGCACUUCGGUUCAAAUUUCACUUCGGAUUAGUGGCAGACGGGUGAGUAACGCGUGAGCAACCUACCUCUUACAAAGGGAUAGCCUCGGGAAACCGUGAUUAAUACCAUAUGACACAUUCAUAAGGCAUCUUAAGAAUGUUAAAGCUACGGCGGUAAGAGAUGGGCUCGCGUCCCAUUAGCUAGUUGGUGAGGUAACGGCCCACCAAGGCGACGAUGGGUAACCGGCCUGAGAGGGUGAACGGUCACAUUGGAACUGAGACACGGUCCAAACUCCUACGGGAGGCAGCAGUGGGGAAUAUUGCACAAUGGAGGGAACUCUGAUGCAGCGACGCCGCGUGAGCGAUGAAGGAAUUCGUUUCGUAAAGCUCUGUUCUAUGGGAAGAAAAGGACUGUACCAUAGGAGAAAGCCCCGGCUAAAUACGUG